RNAcentral lists this ribosomal RNA (253 nucleotides) under uncultured bacterium. Its description in RNAcentral is "partial 16S ribosomal RNA". It matches the Rfam family "Bacterial small subunit ribosomal RNA", at positions 524 to 776 of the family's 1533-position model. The record is from RNAcentral.
UACGAAGGGGGCUAGCGUUGUUCGGAAUCACUGGGCGUAAAGCGCACGUAGGCGGAUUUUUAAGUCAGGGGUGAAAUCCCGAGGCUCAACCUCGGAACUGCCUUUGAUACUGAGGAUCUUGAGUCCGGGAGAGGUGAGCGGAACUGCGAGUGUAGAGGUGAAAUUCGUAGAUAUUCGCAAGAGCACCAGUGGCGAAGGCGGCUCACUGGCCCGGAACUGACGCUGAGGUGCGAAAGCGUGGGGAGCAAACAGG